Molecule: small RNA, 29 nt
Filed under: Bombyx mori (domestic silkworm)
Lineage: Eukaryota; Metazoa; Arthropoda; Insecta; Lepidoptera; Bombycidae
Description: ovarian small RNA-26110
Source: RNAcentral
UCAUCGGCGAAGAGCGCCAGAUGGGUCUC